Molecule: ribosomal RNA, 253 nt
Filed under: uncultured bacterium
Lineage: Bacteria
Description: partial 16S ribosomal RNA
Rfam family: Bacterial small subunit ribosomal RNA
Source: RNAcentral
UACGUAGGGUGCAAGCGUUAAUCGGAAUUACUGGGCGUAAAGCGCGCGCAGGCGGUCCUUUAAGUCUGAUGUGAAAGCCCACGGCUCAACCGUGGAGGGUCAUUGGAAACUGGGGGACUUGAGUGCAGAAGAGGAGAGUGGAAUUCCACGUGUAGCGGUGAAAUGCGUAGAGAUGUGGAGGAACACCAGUGGCGAAGGCGACUCUCUGGUCUGUAACUGACGCUGAGGCGCGAAAGCGUGGGGAGCAAACAGG